AAUUUAGUCAGUCUUUUCUUUCUAAAACGUUAUAUCCGUCCGUAAAAACGGCCUACUCCUUCCUCGUUGACGGGAAUCGCGCAGCAGAUUUGUAGAAAAGUGUUAUCAUUAACAUGUCUACUCAAAUCUAAACUAACGUUUUCAAAUUGUACAAAAUUUGGAAAAAUUCAGAAAUCCAACAUUUAAUCCCUUAACUAUUCCAAUUAUAAAAUGUAUACAAUAAAUAUUUUUUUGUGAACGUGCGAAGAAAAAUCGUCAGUCUGCUGAAGUGCAUUCACAUGAGUCGAAAGCCACUGUAUAGUUUCAGUCGACUAGGCAGGUAUACACGUAUACGACGAAGUAGCUUUGGCCAAUGAUUUAUACGCUUCCCACACAGAUAAGUGGGUACUCGUACUCGGUAAAUGAAAUCUCGGAUCGUAAAUCAUGCGGUGGACAAGACCCGCUGCACGCAGCAAUGAAGUUAUUAGAA
Non-coding RNA from Cinara cedri, 469 nucleotides. Lineage: Eukaryota; Metazoa; Arthropoda; Insecta; Hemiptera; Aphididae. The record is from the annotation of a GenBank genome assembly.